GCGCGGAGGUGGCACAGCCCGCGGCGCUUUCUUUCGACCUGCGCACAACGCGGGACGCAGAGGCGCGCGCGGGGUGCGUGGAGGCCGCAGGUUGGAUUCCCUACCAGUAAAAUGAGGUAAUGAUGUGAAAUUGGUCACGUUGUUGAAGAGUUGAAAUGAGAGAUUGGGCAUCAGUAUCCAGCUUAGGUUCCGGCCUGUAAGUUUCCCAUCUUCUUUCUUGAACCAGCUUAUCUGUUAAUUUUAUCUUCAUGCUCUUUAGCUCUAAACCAGUUUUUCUAGAGAGAAACAUAUCCUACAAAGUAGCUUUGUGCAGAUAACUGGUGCAAGGCGUUGCCUAGAGAACAGGGUGGGGACAUUGAGUACUCAAGAUGGUUGGACAUUGAAAGAUUUAUAUUUAAUGAUAGCAUGGUGGCAUACGGAGGGGCCAAAGGGCCUCAGAGGGUCUAUGGAGCCAAAGCCUGCCCUGUUCUUCCAUUUUUAGCCAAUAUUUGAAUGCCUGCUAUGUGUUGGAUGCUGUGCAAACCCUGGAGAUACAAAGAUGGCAAACAGAAGUUAGCUAUGCUAUCCCUGGUCCCUGGCGCCAUAGUAAUUAGUUAUGUGAUGUCUUCAUACCGACUCCUUCCAAGUGAUAUGCACUACAGGGAAUGGUAGUGUGGCUGGACUCUGAAAGAGUGUUGGGAAGUAUAAAUGCUGUCUGUCCUGGGAAAGAGAUGCAGGUGGUGACAGCACAGGAUUUGAUAGUCCUAUGCUGCAGUCUUUCAGCAUGGGGGUCUGACCCACUGGGAUAUCACGAAGUCAGCUUUGUGGGUCUGAUUUAGGGUGAAUGUUAUUUAAGAAAUGAAAGAAGGGAGGGUAGGAAAAUGUUAAAGUGAGUUGCUCACAGUGACCUCUUGCUUUGCAAAACAUCGUUUUAGUCUUGAACACAUUUGGUACACGUCAC
RNAcentral lists this long non-coding RNA (940 nucleotides) under Mus musculus (house mouse). RNAcentral's name for it is "shlncRNA-EC16". Lineage: Eukaryota; Metazoa; Chordata; Mammalia; Rodentia; Muridae. The record is from RNAcentral.